UAACGCGAAGAACCUUACCAGGUCUUGACAUCCUCUGACAAUCCUAGAGAUAGGACGUCCCCUUCGGGGGCAGAGUGACAGGUGGUGCAUGGUUGUCGUCAGCUCGUGUCGUGAGAUGUUGGGUUAAGUCCCGCAACGAGCGCAACCCUUGAUUUUAGUUGCCAGCAUUCAGUUGGGCACUCUAAGGUGACUGCCGGUGACAAACCGGAGGAAGGUGGGGAUGACGUCAAAUCAUCAUGCCCCUUAUGACCUGGGCUACACACGUGCUACAAUGGACAGAACAAAGGGCAGCGAAACCGCGAGGUUAAGCCAAUCCCACAAAUCUGUUCUCAGUUCGGAUCGCAGUCUGCAACUCGACUGCGUGAAGCUGUUAAUACGCUAGUAAUCGCCAUCAGGCUUAUUUUCCACCCACCCC
RNAcentral lists this ribosomal RNA (415 nucleotides) under Bacillus subtilis. Its description in RNAcentral is "bacterial SSU rRNA". The stretch from base 1 to 370 matches the Rfam family "Bacterial small subunit ribosomal RNA", at positions 957 to 1328 of the family's 1533-position model. The record is from RNAcentral. Lineage: Bacteria; Bacillati; Bacillota; Bacilli; Caryophanales; Bacillaceae.